This 468-nucleotide ribosomal RNA is filed under the name uncultured bacterium. Its description in RNAcentral is "partial 16S ribosomal RNA". It matches the Rfam family "Bacterial small subunit ribosomal RNA", at positions 28 to 507 of the family's 1533-position model. The record is from RNAcentral.
GACGAACGCUGGCGGCGUGCUUAACACAUGCAAGUCGAACGGAAAGGCCCUGCUUUUGUGGGGUGCUCGAGUGGCGAACGGGUGAGUAACACGUGAGUAACCUGCCCUUGACUUUGGGAUAACUUCAGGAAACUGGGGCUAAUACCGGAUAGGAGCUCCUGCUGCAUGGUGGGGGUUGGAAAGUUUCGGCGGUUGGGGAUGGACUCGCGGCUUAUCAGCUUGUUGGUGGGGUAGUGGCUUACCAAGGCUUUGACGGGUAGCCGGCCUGAGAGGGUGACCGGCCACAUUGGGACUGAGAUACGGCCCAGACUCCUACGGGAGGCAGCAGUGAGGAAUAUUGCACAAUGGGCGGAAGCCUGAUGCAGCAACGCCGCGUGCGGGAUUACGGCCUUCGGGUUGUAAACCGCUUUCGCCUGUGACGAAGCGUGAGUGACGGUAAUGGGUAAAGAAGCACCGGCUAACUACGUG